AUGAACGCUAGCGACAGGCUUAACACAUGCAAGUCGAGGGGUAACAGGGUAGCAAUACCGCUGACGACCGGCGCACGGGUGAGUAACGCGUAUGCAACCUGCCUAUAACUGGGGAAUAGCUCCCUGAAAGGGGGAAUUAACACCGCAUAACACUAUUGAUUCGCAUGGAUUAGUAGUUAAAUGUAGCGAUACAGGUUAUAGAUGGGCAUGCGUGACAUUAGCUAGUUGGUGAGGUAACGGCUCACCAAGGCUACGAUGUCUAGGGGUUCUGAGAGGAAGGUCCCCCCACACUGGUACUGAGACACGGACCAGACUCCUACGGGGGGCAGCAGUGAGGAAUAUUGGUCAAUGGGCGCAAGCCUGAACCAGCCAUGUCGCGUGCAGGAAGACUGCCCUAUGGGUUGUAAACUGCUUUUAUAGUAGAAGAAACACAUCUACGCGUAGAUGUCUGCCAGUAUACUAUGAAUAAGCAUCGGCUAACUCCGUGCCAGCAGCCGC
RNAcentral lists this ribosomal RNA (498 nucleotides) under uncultured bacterium. RNAcentral's name for it is "bacterial SSU rRNA". It matches the Rfam family "Bacterial small subunit ribosomal RNA", at positions 29 to 518 of the family's 1533-position model. The record is from RNAcentral.